UACGAAGGGGGCGAGCGUUGUUCGGAAUUACUGGGCGUAAAGGGCGCGCAGGCGGCCCUAGCAGUCAGGUGUGAAAGCCCCGGGCUCAACCUGGGAAUAGCACUUGAUACUCUAGGGCUGGAGUACGGGAGAGGAGAGUGGAAUUCCCAGUGUAGAGGUGAAAUUCGUAGAUAUUGGGAAGAACACCAGUGGCGAAGGCGGCUCUCUGGACCGUAACUGACGCUGAGGCGCGAAAGCGUGGGGAGCAAACAGG
Molecule: ribosomal RNA, 253 nt
Filed under: uncultured bacterium
Lineage: Bacteria
Description: partial 16S ribosomal RNA
Rfam family: Bacterial small subunit ribosomal RNA
Source: RNAcentral